RNAcentral lists this ribosomal RNA (394 nucleotides) under uncultured bacterium. RNAcentral describes it as "bacterial SSU rRNA". It matches the Rfam family "Bacterial small subunit ribosomal RNA", at positions 355 to 773 of the family's 1533-position model. The record is from RNAcentral.
UGGGGAAUAUUGGACAAUGGGCGCAAGCCUGAUCCAGCCAUGCCGCGUGAGUGAUGAAGGCCCUAGGGUUGUAAAGCUCUUUCACCGGUGAAGCGGUAACCGGAGAAGAAGCCCCGGCUAACUUCGUGCCAGCAGCCGCGGUAAUACGAAGGGGGCUAGCGUUGUUCGGAAUUACUGGGCGUAAAGCGCACGUAGGCGGACAUUUAAGUCAGGGGUGAAAUCCCGGGGCUCAACCCCGGAACUGCCUUUGAUACUGGGUGUCUAGAGUCCGAGAGAGGUGAGUGGAAUUCCGAGUGUAGAGGUGAAAUUCGUAGAUAUUCGGAGGAACACCAGUGGCGAAGGCGGCUCACUGGCUCGGUACUGACGCUGAGGUGCGAAAGCGUGGGGAGCAAAC